Molecule: ribosomal RNA, 207 nt
Filed under: uncultured bacterium
Lineage: Bacteria
Description: partial 16S ribosomal RNA
Rfam family: Bacterial small subunit ribosomal RNA
Source: RNAcentral
UGCGUAGGCGGCUUCUUAAGUCUGGUGUGAAAGCCCAGGGCUCAGCUCUGGAAGUGCAUUAGAAACUGAGAAGCUUGAGUACCGGAUGGGAGAGUGGAAUUCCUGGUGUAGCGGUGAAAUGCGUAGAUAUCAGGAGGAAUACCGGUGGCGAAAGCGACUCUCUGGACGGUUACUGACGCUGAGGCACGAAAGCGUGGGGAGCAAACA